RNA transcript from Arachis stenosperma, 2339 nucleotides. RefSeq lists it as uncharacterized. The transcript has 4 exons. NCBI's taxonomy places the organism in Eukaryota, Viridiplantae, Streptophyta, Magnoliopsida, Fabales, Fabaceae. The record is from RefSeq and is a predicted model, not a curated record.
UGAUAGCAGUGUGACGAAUUUGCAGAUAGUAGCGAAGUAAAAAGAAGACAGAACGGGAUCGGACAGGAAAAAAACGCACCCCUAUCCCCUCACUACAACCCUGGUCAUCAACAAUACCUGGUCUGCGCCCCGAGUCCCUGUGUAUAAAUAAAUAAAGCAGCCAGAUACGGCACAGCACAGCUUAUGUGGCAGCUGAGCUACUAGUAGUAAUAAGAAUCAGAGAUACAAGAGAGUAGAGUAGUUGUUAUGGAGAAGGAGAAAGGGACUAUCACUACGACCAACAAUAAUAACAAGAUAGAGAGGGGGCACCAGAUGUACCGUGAGGGGCGUUACAGGGAAGCAUUAGGGUUUUACACGGACGCGAUCGCCCUCGCUAAAACCAAACCCCACAAGAUCGCUCUCCACAGCAAUCGCGCUGCUUGUUACCUCAAACUUCACCAUUUCAAAAAGGCAGCAGAAGAGUGUACCUCAGUGCUUGAGCUUGAUCAAAACCACAGUGGGGCAUUGAUGCUGAGGGCUCAAACACUAGUCACCUUGAAGGAGUACCAUUCAGCGCUUUUUGAUGUCAAUAGACUUUUAGAGUUGAACCCAUCCUCAGAAGUAUAUCAAAAUCUUCACGCUCGCUUGAAGACACAGUUGACACUUGCUCCAAUACCAGAGUCAGAAGAGGAGUUUGAAGAGCAGGAAGAAGAAUCAGAAGACAGUCCUGAGGUCAUACUAGGAGGAGAGAAUAAUGAGGAAUCAAUGGGAGGUAAGUACUUGGCAACUUCGGAUAUUAGAAUUGAUCAGAAGGUUGAACUCCGGAAAGAUAUCGUAAGUGCUGAAUGUGCUUCUCAAGAUACAAAAUCCAAGUUCCCAUCCAAAGAUGGAAGAGACCAGAACAGUGAGGCUGAAAAGUCAAAAGCAGAGGCUGUAGCACCUAAAGCACUGAACAGGGAAUCAACCGAGCAACAAACGAAAGGAUGGCAAAUGAUUCCAAAACCGAAAGGGCAUUCAGCUCUGGACUAUGCACGAUGGGACAGUGUUGAAGAUGAUUCUAGUGAAGACGACGACGAAAAUGAAGAUGAAGAAUCUUUGCCACAGUACCGGUUCCGCGUAAAAACGGUGGGGGUACGGCCUGUCAAGUGAUAUGUAAAUUCUAGUACAAGGUACCUCUAAAAUGGCUUUGCUGUUCAAGUACGGAACAUAGAAGUGACUUCUUAUGGACUAGAACGGGCUGGUUCCCUAGUUGGAAUAGCUGAAUCAUGUGGUUUUCUCUUGAAGAUCUACAAUUUUGUUACUAGAGUUAUCAGUCGAUAUGGUUGUCGAUGAUCAUGAGCUAUAUAAACUCGAAGUUAACAGUAACAUCCUCAGUGCCUCCCUUUGAAGCAACUGAGUUCCUGAUCUCCAGGUCUGUUUGCAUUUUCUUCUGAUACUGAAGUUCGAGAGUUGUGCUUCCUUAAUAGACGAGGUAGAGUCUUUCAGCUGUUGAGGGCCAAAGAGCAUCAUUCAUACCAUUACAACAGGUACCACCACUUACCUUCUCACGAAGAACUCGGACGGCGACACCUCGACACCAGUAGAUGUUGGACGCUGCCUCAAAAGGAGUUUGGACCUCAUGCUCAGGCCCAAAGCAACCCAGUUUCAGGUAACCCACGGAAUAUUGACGCCAUUGCUGGGGACCCGCAAGUCUACACCCAAUCAUGGCAAAUAAUCGUCUUAAAGACGGACAUAUGGCAUCCGAAUCCGAGCUAGAAUAUCACAACGACGAUCGUGCGUUUGUAGUACCUCCACGACAAGAUUGAACAAAUGACCACAAUGGGGAGGGCCUUCACAAAACCCUCAAGGUAGAAGAAUAAAUUCGAAAAUCCAACCACUUGAGGACAUGGUAAACCAAAACUCGGCAGAACAUAUGGGUUUGGUGCAUGGACACUAGGAAUGUAAAACCCGGUUAAUUAACGGCUAAUUAACCUAUAAAUGAGAAUUUAUUCUAGAAAGCCUGAAAUGUGAUUUUUAUGGCUUAAUGUGAUAGAGGAGAUUGAGACGAGAAUUUCGGUACCAAUUUUAUAGAAUUCGGACCAAGAUUGGACCGAACGGGCCAAACCGUGCCAACCGGACCCAAAGUGGGCCCUUGGCCCAACAUAACUUAACCAAAACCCUAGUUUUCAGCACUCUCUCUCCUCAUUACACACACAAACACGCUGAAUUAGAGGGAAGGGGGGAGAAGAACACUCUCUCAAACCUCUAUCUCUCACUUGAUCUUCAAACCACCAUAACUUUUGAUCUAGAGCUCCGAUUGCCGCUCCGUUUGCGGUCACGCGUUCACCGCGGAGAGCUCUACAAAACCCAUACAACUAAUC